Molecule: ribosomal RNA, 231 nt
Filed under: uncultured bacterium
Lineage: Bacteria
Description: partial 16S ribosomal RNA
Rfam family: Bacterial small subunit ribosomal RNA
Source: RNAcentral
AGUAACACGUGGGUAACCUGCCCCGAUGAUUGGGACAACCCGAGGAAACUCGGGCUAAUACCGAAUGUGCCCUUCGACCGCAAGGUCGCUGGGGAAAGGAAGCUUCGGCCUCCGCAUCGGGAUGGGCCCGCGGCCCAUUAGCUUGUUGGUGAGGUAACGGCUCACCAAGGCAACGAUGGGUAGCUGGUCUGAGAGGACGAUCAGCCACACUGGGACUGAGACACGGCCCAG